Molecule: ribosomal RNA, 302 nt
Filed under: uncultured bacterium
Lineage: Bacteria
Description: partial 16S ribosomal RNA
Rfam family: Bacterial small subunit ribosomal RNA
Source: RNAcentral
GCAGCAGCCGCGGUAAUACGGAGGGUGCAAGCGUUAAUCGGAAUUACUGGGCGUAAAGCGCACGCAGGCGGUCUGACAAGUCAGAUGUGAAAUCCCCGGGCUUAACCUGGGAACUGCAUUUGAAACUGUCAGGCUGGAGUCUUGUAGAGGGGGGUAGAAUUCCAGGUGUAGCGGUGAAAUGCGUAGAGAUCUGGAGGAAUACCGGUGGCGAAGGCGGCCCCCUGGACAAAGACUGACGCUCAGGUGCGAAAGCGUGGGGAGCAAACAGGAUUAGAUACCCCUGUAGUCCCUGUCUCUUAUAC